This 253-nucleotide ribosomal RNA is filed under the name uncultured bacterium. Its description in RNAcentral is "partial 16S ribosomal RNA". It matches the Rfam family "Bacterial small subunit ribosomal RNA", at positions 524 to 776 of the family's 1533-position model. The record is from RNAcentral.
UACGUAGGGUGCGAGCGUUAAUCGGAAUUACUGGGCGUAAAGCGUGCGCAGGCGGCUAUUUAAGCUUGCUGUGAAAGCCCCGGGCUUAACCUGGGAACUGCAGUGAGGACUGGAUGGCUGGAGUGUGGCAGAGGGGGGUGGAAUUCCACGUGUAGCAGUGAAAUGCGUAGAUAUCGGGAGGAACACCGGUGGCGAAGGCGGCGACCUGGGUCGAGACUGACGCUGAGGCGCGAAAGCGUGGGGAGCAAACAGG